GAGAGUGCGGCGCUGCCGGCGGGCGAGGGCGUGAGCAAGUUAGGUCCUGGUUGUGGUCUCUGCCCCGUCAUUGGAAUACCGGUGGAACCACGGUGGAAAUCCGGCUCCAGAGUCGGCCGGAGCACCGAGAGCGAGGCCGCGGGGCGGGACUUCCGGAGAUGAGGAGACAGAAUUUCUAGAAACCAAGGCUGAAGAAGCUGGAACGACUCCGCCUCUGCGAUGUUGAUAUUCUGACUGUCAGGGGAAUGGCUACCCACUGCCUUCUCCAGGGGCGAGAGAAGAGGAACUUCCAAAAUAAUGGGGUGACUGGGAUCCGUGCGACAGUCGGCAUUAAAAGUCCCCGGGCCGAAGCUGCUGGGAAGUCAUUACUGUAACUCUUCCUCGUUUGUUUUUUACUGAGAGAUCUUGAGAAAUGCUUGGAUGUGCACACCUUAAUUUGGAUAAUCUUUACGUGUUUUGCUGGUGUGUGUAGAACAAUCAGAAACUGCUAGUGAGCAAAGCGGUCCUGUGGUGCGUGUCUCACACAAAGUCAGAAUUUUGGAAUUCACCGAAAGCAGCAAGGGCACAGUACUCUGUGUCUUUCCACACCUGCAUCGUUCUCUGGAGCCAGCCGGCCACCAUUACUUAGACUUGGAAUGCAAGUCCCUGAAAGUUAUUUGGUAUCUGAUUCAAACUGAAAUGGUAACAGAUAGCCUAAAGAUCAUUCUUGAAGCAAAGCUCUCUGCAAAUUACUGUGAAGAUGGAUUCUGGUUCAGAGGUCCUUGCCAGCAAAACUCUCAAAAGUCUCCGCACCUAUACUUAAAGGACCUGGAACCGAGCCUAAACGGGACAAGAACUUCGAGCACUUUCGAAUAGCUCAGAGUGUUCUCUAUCCUGUUUGAACUUUUCAUUUUUGGCUUCUACUUGUGUCCACUGAGGUCAGAAGAAGGCAUUAGAUCACCUGGAGCUAGAGUCACAUACAGUUGAGAGCAGCCUGGUCUGGACACUGUGUCUUGAACUUAGGUUCUCCUUGAUUGCGGAGCCAUCUCAGCCCCAGGAGGUAUUAUUAUGUGCUGCCCUGAGCACUGAGCUGUUGAAGGGCAUUUCUGACCUAUCAGUAGUACCCUCCCUCAAAAUUAUCCAUUCAGAAUUGUCUUAAGUUUCCAAAUCUCCCCUGAAGAGAGCAAAAUGAUGUUGUUAAAAGAAAAUAAAAAACACUGAGAUAAGGAUAAGAGGGCACACUUAAACUUGUAUAUAUAUGAAUGGUGAUGUUUAAUGAAAUGACUAAUGUCUUUCAAGUGAUUAAUGUAUUUCCAGUAUUAACAAUGAAUUAGUGUUGUCAAGCAUUGCUUUGCUUUUUGAGUCCAUGUUUCUCAACUUUUCCUCUUUGCAGUUUAUUAAUGUAGGAAAAUGAAUUUAUUACCAAUGCUAGUUAGACCUGAUCCUUGGAAAUUACAUCAUGAAUAUAUUGCUACUAUCAGUUUGUUUUCUCUAACAUUGAUUGUGGACUCAUUGAAAUGAAUUGGCCUUGACCAAAAUAAUUUCUGGCUGCUGUUUAUGUUUACAUCCCAGCUAGCCUGGAUUAUUUAGAACACAGGCACUUCAUGGAAAAAUACAUGUUUACCUAGUUACUGAUUUUUUAUAUGAGUAAGGAGUUUUCUUUCUCUAAUUUUUAUUUAAGGAAGUUGAAAGCUAAAGGCUGAAGUCAGUAUGCUCAUAUUAGGACUGCUUGCUGGGUUUAGUCCCAACAGUGGCCUAUGGUUAUGGAAUUAUUUGAUUAACUUUCCAUGUUAAUUAUGUUUGUGUUUUAAGUUGUUUAGGAAAAUUAGGGCACAGUAGCUUUGGUUUGGCUUUUAGAAAGUUAGACUGUCUGACCUGUUUUAACCCAGGAAAUACGGUCUUUUCUGCUCCACUGAGCAUAUGUCGUCUUGUGAUAACCCACCCCUCCCCUGCUUAGUAACAAAGACAAUACUCAUUGUUUCUGGCAGCUUCAUGGGCAGGGCAAGGCCUGGUGGACACCCAAAACCAAGAAUGACCAAGAAUGUUGAGCCUUAAAGAAAGGUAAACUGUGAAAUCCUUUGCUAGUUCCUACAACACAGAACUUUCCAUUGGCUGCUGUUUCUAGUAAGAGGAUUGCCCCCAUAUCUUUAACAUUCUCCUCAGAUGUUUAAAUCUGAUUAAUUGGAAGCAGCAUCACUGAGAGGUGGUUGUUUAUACAGAAACCAGCAAUUCAGGAGACCCCUGAGCUCUGUACUUAUAUCUUUGCUUGCUGGAAGUCAUCUUUGGCUGUGAAUUAAGAAUUGUCUGUUUCCUUAGAGAACAGGCUUUAACUGUUGACCAUUCUGACUUGUAAUUCAACAGCUUACAUGUGUUAGUUACUUAAGAAGUUGAAAACAGUCAGAGCUGUUUAGUGUAUUAUUUAAUGAAAUUGCCUAGUUACCUAGAAAAGAAGUAUGGGGUCAUAAACCAUACAGAUUCAAUUUUAUUUUGCUAAUUCUUAAUGAAAUAUAACAGAUGAGAGCUAGAAUGGAAAUAGUGCAAUGUAAUGUUAUUCCAGUGAUUCUUAAUGCUCAUGAUCUCUGUACAUUUAGAAAGAAGCGAAACAUGGUUCAUACUUGGGAUCCCAGUACUAGAGAGGCCAAGGCAGGAGUUAGGAGACAUUCUGGGCUACAUAGAUAUAAGACUGUAUCUCACACAAAGGAAAAUAAAUAGAUGUGAGUGGGACUCUGAAAUGUAGCCAUUAAUCACUUGUUUACAAAUAAAUUUUAAUUUCAUUAAACUUUUA
Mesocricetus auratus (golden hamster) is the source of this 2764-nucleotide long non-coding RNA. RefSeq lists it as uncharacterized. The transcript is spliced from 8 exons. Lineage: Eukaryota; Metazoa; Chordata; Mammalia; Rodentia; Cricetidae. The record is from RefSeq and is a predicted model, not a curated record.